GUGAACGCUGGCGGUAGGCCUCACGCAUGCAAGUCGCACGGCAGCACAGUAAGAGCUUGCUCUUACGGGUGGCGAGUGGCGGACGGGUGAGGAAUACAUCGGAAUCUACUUUUUCGUGGGGGAUAACGUAGGGAAACUUACGCUAAUACCGCAUACGACCUACGGGUGAAAGCAGGGGAUCCUCGGACCUUGCGCGAUUGAAUGAGCCGAUGUCGGAUUAGCUAGUUGGCGGGGUAAAGGCCCACCAAGGCGACGAUCCGUAGCUGGUCUGAGAGGAUGAUCAGCCACACUGGAACUGAGACACGGUCCAGACUCCUAGGGGAGGCAGCAGUGGGGAAUAUUGGACAAUGGGCGCAAGCCUGAUCCAGCCAUACCGCGUGGGUGAAGAAGGCCUUCGGGUUGUAAAGCCCUUUUGUUGGGAAAGAAAAGCAGCAGGUUAAUACCCCGCUGUUCCGACGGUACCCAAAGAAUAAGCACCGGCUAACUUCGUG
This 491-nucleotide ribosomal RNA is filed under the name uncultured bacterium. Its description in RNAcentral is "partial 16S ribosomal RNA". It matches the Rfam family "Bacterial small subunit ribosomal RNA", at positions 29 to 507 of the family's 1533-position model. The record is from RNAcentral.